This 433-nucleotide ribosomal RNA is filed under the name uncultured bacterium. RNAcentral describes it as "partial 16S ribosomal RNA". It matches the Rfam family "Bacterial small subunit ribosomal RNA", at positions 29 to 507 of the family's 1533-position model. The record is from RNAcentral.
AACGAACGCUGGCGGCAUGCCUAACACAUGCCAGUCGAACGAGACCUUCGGGUCUAGUGGCGCACGGGUGCGUAACGCGUGGGAACCUGCCCUUAGGUUCGGAAUAACUCCCCGAAAGGGGUGCUAAUACCGGAUAAUGUCUUCGGACCAAAGAUUUAUCGCCUUUGGAUGGGCCCGCGUUGGAUUAGCUAGUUGGUAGGGUAAAAGCCUACCAAGGCGACGAUCCAUAGCUGGUCUGAGAGGAUGAUCAGCCACACUGGGACUGAGACACGGCCCAGACUCCUACGGGAGGCAGCAGUGGGGAAUAUAGGACGAUGGGCGAAAGCCUGAUCCAGCAAGGCCGCGUGAGUGAUGAAGGCCUUAGGGUUGUAAAGCUCUUUUACCCGGGAUGAUAAUGACAGUACCGGGAGAAUAAGCGCCGGCUAACUCCGUG